This is a long non-coding RNA of Medicago truncatula (barrel medic), 685 nucleotides long. RefSeq lists it as uncharacterized. The record is from RefSeq and is a predicted model, not a curated record. The transcript is spliced from 2 exons. Lineage: Eukaryota; Viridiplantae; Streptophyta; Magnoliopsida; Fabales; Fabaceae.
CUCUUCUGUCUUCUAAUAUAUUUCGGUUCUGCAGAUGGAAAGCAACAGAUGAGUCCAUUUGCUAAUUCAAAGACUGCUACAUAUUUAGCCUGGCAAAACAUGCACAACAAGUGUAGAAGAUUUCAUUACAUUUUAAACAAGAUUUUUUUACUUGUGCUCUUUCACUUCUGUCAAUCAAUCCGUGGGAUUCAUAUGCGAUUAAAUCCAUGUCUCUAGAACAUUCUAAUUGCCCAGCCAGUGCUGUUCAAGCCUUAACUCAUGCAAUGAGUCGGCGCAUGUCUCCUGCUUCAUCAGAAUCAUGGUGUAGACGAGUAGUGGUCAUGGUCAACAUGUCAAUUCCAGCAUGUGGAUCUCAUGCCGAAAGAGAUAUGAAAAUUCCAGCAGUGAGACUUUGAUAUAGCGUACGCCAUAGCUCAAAAUCAUCUUUAUCGCAAAUGUUGCCUAAUUUCUGAAUUUUGUCAGCAUGAGGCGAAAACAUUAACCAAUCCAUCUCUUUCCCUCUCACUUUCUCUUUACUCUCUCUAUUUCUGUAAGUGCUUUAAGAUGUUUAUUAGGUACCUUUCUUUGAUCCAACAACCAUGACUUCCUCUGAUAAUUUUAUUUCACUGUUGUAAAUAAAUUUCAAAUGGAUUGUUCAAUUGGACCAGUUACUAAAUCAUUUAAUUAAACCCAACAAGAAUGACAA